Molecule: ribosomal RNA, 491 nt
Filed under: uncultured bacterium
Lineage: Bacteria
Description: partial 16S ribosomal RNA
Rfam family: Bacterial small subunit ribosomal RNA
Source: RNAcentral
AGUGAACGCUGGCGGUAGGCCUAACACAUGCAAGUCGAACGGCAGCACAGUAAGAGCUUGCUCUUACGGGUGGCGAGUGGCGGACGGGUGAGGAAUACAUCGGAAUCUACUUUUCGUGGGGGAUAACGUAGGGAAACUUACGCUAAUACCGCAUACGACCUACGGGUGAAAGCAGGGGAUCUUCGGACCUUGCGCGAUUGAAUGAGCCGAUGUCGGAUUAGCUAGUUGGCGGGGUAAAGGCCCACCAAGGCGACGAUCCGUAGCUGGUCUGAGAGGAUGAUCAGCCACACUGGAACUGAGACACGGUCCAGACUCCUACGGGAGGCAGCAGUGGGGAAUAUUGGACAAUGGGCGCAAGCCUGAUCCAGCCAUACCGCGUGGGUGAAGAAGGUCUUCGGGUUGUAAAGCCCUUUUGUUGGGAAAGAAAAGCAGCAGGUUAAUACCCCGCUGUUCUGACGGUACCCAAAGAAUAAGCACCGGCUAACUUCGUG